UCAAAACUAACAAAGAAAUAGAUCCACUUAAAUUGAAAGAUUUUACAUCCUCCACAAUUGGUCCAAUGCUGUCUCAUCCAUUAAAUCCUGGGGUGUUUUGGAGAAUUCUCCACUUGUGCCCUGAAUCUCAGUGCAGGUGUUUUUCUCACCCACAGGAUAGACAAAGUGUAUUUGGAGCUCUUAUAAAAUAGCUAGUGACUAUUUUCUUUUUUUUUAAUAAGCAUCCAGAAGACUUUGAGUCACAUCAAAACAAAAAAAGGCUGUCAUUCUCAGACAAAUGUCCAACUUGCUCUUCCCUGUGGAAUUUGGACCCAGCUUAAAGCUCCACUAGCAAAGAGAUACUAAACUGAAAAAAGUACACCUGGGCUUGGAAGAACAUCUUCCAAAGUCAUUAAACUUCUGAAUAAUACUAUAAUAACUGACGUGAAAAUGAGAGUGUCUUUUUUUUGUAUUUUAAUUAUUCCUAAGUGAUACUCAUAAAAAUAUAUUAGCUUAUAAGGAAACUGCUGGAGAAUAUAAUAGGGAUGAAACUGCUGGCUUCCACAGGAUUUUAAAGUACUUUUCCAGAAGUACACCUGAACAACUUCAGAGAAUGAAUGUUUAAGCAACUUGUAGAAUUCUCCACUUUGGAUUAAAAUAAUGUAGGCUAUUUCACAGAAUUCAAAAUUACCUAUAGAAAAGGCAAUUCCUUCCCCCUAAACCUAAAGGAAUUUUAGAUAACUGAGGAAGCACCCUAAAGGCUGAAAUCUAUUGUUCCAUAGUUCAAAUAAAUUUAAUACAUCACAGGCAGAUUUUUAUUAUUAUUUAUUAUCAUUAUUAAUUUUUGACUAAUACUAUAAAACAUUCAUUGACAUCAAUCAAAUUCAGUUUAGGCACUCAUAGGUGCAGAAUGAAAAUACUCACACAGGCUCUUUAUUGCAAAAACUUAAUAGUAAUGAGGGGGAAAAAAACACUCUGUGUUGUGAUCUAUCUAUUUAAAUGCUUGAACUUAAAAAUAAGAUCUCCCAAUCACAUCCAGGUAGGCAACAUAGCCUUCUUGUUAAAAUGCCCUUCCAUUUAAACAUAGAUUUUAACCUUUUCACCUUCGCCGCUUACAUUUUUCUUUCGUUUUGUUCAAAGCAUUUAGGUAAAUUAGGAUGAGGUCCCUCCAUAAAAAUGCAAGGGGAUCAGUGAAACUUUCAUCUCUAAUUUAUUCAUGAAGGAGAGAGGUCUUUUCUGGUCAUGCUGUGCAUCAUCCUGUCAGAAUGACUUUCCUUCUUCUUGAGAAGGGAUAAAGGGAGAUAGAAAAAUCAGGGGUUUGGUCUUUCCUACUAAUAAUCACUGGAAGAGAGAAAACUGUGCACUGCUUUAUUCAGUGGUUAUUCUACUGGAGCUGAAUUUAAUAUUACAUAUUACAAGGCCAAGUUUCAAUAUUAAGGGGACUGAAGUUACUAAUGAGUGAAAACAUAAAUUAUUUAUGUAAGAGAACUAGAUCGUCUUUUCAUAUGAAGUUCACACAUAACUUUUAAAAUGUGAAUUAGUGGGUUCUCCUACCAGUUGGAGCAUGUAGGACAGCUUUCUGCCUGGAUACAGCAGAAAGAUCUGUGUGCUUGAGGAGAGGGUUGCAGGCACAGCACACCCUGCUUGUCUCUAUUAGCACAGACCCUGCCAACUCUAAACUGUGCACAAAAAUACUACUGAUUCCACCUCUGGAAAUGCAACUACAGUUGAAUAAAGUUUUAAUGGGGAUUAUAAUAAAAAAAUAUUUAAUAUUAGUCAUAAACCUAUUUUUUUGCUAGUAUACCCCAUCCUUUUCCAAAAUCUCUAUAUUUCAGGUUGAUUUCUUUCACUUAUUGUUGUUAUAUCAACAUCCCAUUUUGUAUCUCAAUCUGUCGGAGGGGCAAAAAGAUUUUUUAAUAAAAAUGGCCUUUAUCCCAGCUGAUGAAUGAACUCUUCUGCGUUCCCCCAGCUUACAAAAAUUAUCAUCUUUUAUACAUGCUUUAAAAAGAAAAGGGUGGGGGCUAGGGAAGAAAAGCAGGAUCUGGUAUUAGUCCUUUUAGUCGUCAGGAAAUUACAAAAUGUACACUUGCGGAGUAAGCAAUUUUCGCAGUCUGCUGGCACAUCCAUCUUUUUAAUGAGCCUUGUUUAUAACCUGACGCCAUGUUUCUAGUCACCUACCCUGUUUACAUCUUUGGCCCCUUUAAUUAAGAGAAGAACCAGUUAAAAGAAAGUAAGAAGAAAUAUUAAUAUGAUCUGAUUAAUUCAGCUAGCGGGAGGUUAUGGGGUACCAAGGUUAUUAUAACCUAUAAAGGCAACAUGAGCAAAGCUGUGUUCAUUUGUAAUUUUAUUAGGCAGAGCAAAUUAGUGAGCCCACAUGGCAAUGACAAAAGACCCCUUCCUAUUCUCUCUUACCCCCCACCGAAAGGGCCAGGCGCCUAAAGUUAGGCUCCAUAUUAGGCAAAUGAGAGCUGAUAAAUCUCAGCCAACAACUAAUGAGAAUCUCCAGAGUUGGAGCUGUGCUAAUUUGAAAACAUUAGCUGGGAUGUCUUUUUCUUUUUUUGGUGCAUGUACAAAGUCCAACUAACGCAGCCCCGCUCUUGUCACGGGGGUCAGUGGGGUGAAGAUGGUGAGGCAGGAAGAGGAGAGGGGUUAAAGAUAAAACAUAGAGAAAACAUAGGAGGGGGCUAAAAGGAAACGCUGAUAAUACAUAGAUCAUUAGGCAGAGCAUAUAUCAUUGAUAAUACAAGGGGGACAUAAUUACAUAUAAUUACAUGACACUUGUUCAGGAGCCCCUCCCAGCUCCUCAGAUAAGAAAAUCCAGAUAUUUUUCUUGUAGGGUCCACACAGCAGCAUUGACAUCAUGGCAACAUCAAGCUGGUUUUCAGGCUUUGCAGUGCUGCAUCUCUCACAAUGUUCAAAAAACUCAGGUCUCAAAGUGGACUGAUGAAAUAUAAUCUGAACUGCAUGAAAAUCUCUGUGAUGCGUGAACUUUCGUAUGGAAAUAGGUGGCACAAGUUGUGUUGCUUAUGAAUUCUUCUACUGAAGCCUGAAACCCUCAUGUUGUGUAAUAUCACAGCUGGCUGGGGUAGCACAAAGACAUCACAGAGCAGAUUCUUUGAGCCUGUACCUUCUGUGUCCCCAGCCCUCAUGCUCAGACUCUUCCUGCAAAAGAAAACUUCAAGAAGGAUGCAGCUGCACUUGGUUCAGGAACCCACUGAUGGAGAUAUAAAUCUUAGCAUGGACAAACAUGUCAAAUAGUGAAACUGCUGUCUUUAAACACUGUCGGUCUGCAGCCUGCCAUCUUCAUCCUUCUGGCGGACAAAUGGCUGCUGUAGCCUCACAAUUCAGAGAGAAACACAGGACAAGGUGAUCUAUAUCCUCAGAGGAUCAUCUCCUCGCUUGCAAGAACAUUUGCUUUACGUUUGAUUUACAUGAUACUGGCUAUCUUUAGAAUCCUGCUAAUUUCCAAGGACAUCUCUCAACACAGACAUGAACUCCUCACAUAAAACCAGGCAGUGGCUGGGUGGGAACCCUCUGCAUGGCAGCUGAAAGGAGCAGCAGUUACAGACUGGGCUGGACAGCAUUCACUGAAGAAAAAGUGUGUGAGUAGGUUGCAGAUGAAGCAUGGACAGAAGGGACCAAAGAGCCAGAUAACAAAGUGGUUCUCAUGUCUUGGAUAAAGAUCAACCCAAGCAUCUCAAAAACAGAUUUUCAGAGUUGCUGAAUGGCUGUGGAUAUCACAGAUAGGUGCUCAGCAGCUCCUAAAACAGGACUUUGGUCUUUGGAGAGUGUUUCAGCCCACAGGCUGUCUUUCACAGUGUAGCAGAGCAGACACAGAUUUUCUUUUUUUUUUUCCUUUAAAGACAAGAAGCUGAAGGAGAGUCAUGACUGAAUUUCCUUCUUUCACCUUUAUAACUGAAGGUCCUUUACUGUCUGGACACUUUCCAAAAUCCAUAAAAUAUAGUAAAUUUUAUACGGAUUUAUCCAACGAGACUUAAUCCUGAGCCUUGUCUUUCUGCACUGUUUUAACAUGUGCUGCAAAAGCAGUGUCAGACUGUCCCCAGCAAUAUUGAGUGACACUCAUCCCAUCCAAACAGCUCUUCACCUUCUCCUUCAGUGGAGAUUCAGCAGCUGAAGGCACUGAGACCACAGUGAACUUCUCUCACCCACAGUGUUAAUGACUGAAAGUCAGCAUCAAAGUAAGAAGCAUAAAUAGGAAUUCUUUAAUUAUAAUGAGUGGCACAUUAACCUCAGCAUGAAUCUGUCAUGACUUUUCAAAAUGGCACACAUGUGGUUCUGUGCUUGAGCUAAUGCCCUGGGCUUUUCACUUGUUCACUUUAGAUCUGUGUUUGCUUUUCUGACUAGAAUGGCUCUCAUCCAGCUGACUUCAAUCAUGUGGGGGGAUGCCUCCGUGUCCAGCAAUACAGGAGAACCCUGAGAAAUAUUGACAGUAAAGAAAUUUGCUCUCUGCUGGCUGUUGUCUCUCUUGUUCUGGGCAUAAAUAAACUUGUUAACUCCC
Passer domesticus (house sparrow) is the source of this 4498-nucleotide long non-coding RNA. RefSeq lists it as uncharacterized. The record is from RefSeq and is a predicted model, not a curated record. NCBI's taxonomy places the organism in Eukaryota, Metazoa, Chordata, Aves, Passeriformes, Passeridae. The transcript is spliced from 5 exons.